Carassius gibelio (silver crucian carp) is the source of this 940-nucleotide long non-coding RNA. RefSeq lists it as uncharacterized. The record is from RefSeq and is a predicted model, not a curated record. The transcript is spliced from 3 exons. NCBI's taxonomy places the organism in Eukaryota, Metazoa, Chordata, Actinopteri, Cypriniformes, Cyprinidae.
UUUUUGAGGCUCUUGCGGCAGCGAGAAUUGCGGCAGUAGGGAAGGAUGGAAAGGGCUCCUGCGGGAGCAGACACUGCUAUGGCAGUGGUGAAAUAUAGGUAGAGGCUCCUGCGGGAGCAGACACUGCUGCGGCAGUGGUGAAAUAUAGGUAGAGGCUCCUGCGGGAGAAGACACUGCUGCGGCAGUGGUGAAAUAUAGGUAGAGGCUCCUGCGGGAGCAGACACUGCUGCGGCAGUGGUGAAAUAUAGGUAGAGGCUCCUGCGGGAGCAGACACUGCUGCGGCAGUGGUGAAAUAUAGGUAGAGGCUCCUGCGGGAGCAGACACUGCUGCGGCAGUGGUGAAAUAUAGGUAGAGGCUCCUGCGGGAGAAGACACUGCUGCGGCAGUGGUGAAAUAUAGGUAGAGGCUCCUGCGGGAGCAGACACUGCUGCGGCAGUGGUGAAAUAUAGGUAGAGGCUCCUGCGGAAGCGGAGACUGCUGCGGCAGUGAGGAAAAAACAGAAAAGGCUCCUGCAGGAGCGGACAAUACUGCAGCGGUGGGGAGAUAUAGAGAAGGCUCCUGCGGGAGCGGACAAUGCUGCGGCGGUGGGGAGAUACGGAGAAAGCUCCUGCGGAAGGAUGGCUGAAGUGAGGAUUGACCAUUACAGAUAGAUAGGGCAUGUUAGGAGAGUUAGCUAUGGUAGAUUAGGAGUUUUAGUGAAAGGGGAUGAGCUGGCGUUAGAGGGGUUGGCUGAAGAGGGUUCGAGAUAGAUAUAUAAAUAAAUAAAAUAAUCGGCCUGACCAAUAAUAGGUCUUGGUACCCUCUGCCUUCUGGCAAAUCUGGAGCUGGAGGCCACUGAACAGAAAAAUGGUUAGUAGCAUGAGGGAGCGGAAGAGUUGAGGGCGCGUUUACGAAUGGAGGCGGCCUCACGUUUGCUUCAGCUGCUGUAGCUGUGGGUCGUG